GCUGGUUGGCGGGGUAACGGCCCACCAAGGCGACGAUCAUUAGGGGUUCUGAGAGGAAGGUCCCCCACAUUGGAACUGAGAAACGGUCCAAACUCCUACGGGAGGCAGCAGUGAGGAAUAUUGGUCAAUGGGCGAGAGCCUGAACCAGCCAAGUCGCGUGAAGGAAGAAGGUCUUAUGGAUUGUAAACUUCUUUAGCAGGGGAAUAAAGGUUAUUACGAGCUAAUAAUUUGCAGGUACUCUGCGAAAAAGGAUCGGCUAACUCCGUGCCAGCAGCCGCGGUAAUACGGAGGAUUCGAGCGUUAUCCGGAUUUAUUGGGUUUAAAGGGUGCGUAGGCGGAUUUGUAAGUCAGUGGUGAAAGUUUCCGGCUUAACCGGGAGAAUGCCGUUGAGACUGCAGGUCUUGAGUGCAAGCGAGGUAAGUGGAAUGUGUUGUGUAGCGGUGAAAUGCAUAGAUAUAACACAGAACACCGAUUGCGAAGGCAGCUUACUAGUAUGUAACUGACGCUGAGGCACGAAAGCGUGGGGAGCAAACAGGAUUAGAUACCCUGGUAGUCCACGCAGUAAACGAUGAAUACUAGCUGUAUGCGAUAGACAGUAUG
RNAcentral lists this ribosomal RNA (600 nucleotides) under uncultured bacterium. Its description in RNAcentral is "bacterial SSU rRNA". It matches the Rfam family "Bacterial small subunit ribosomal RNA", at positions 244 to 843 of the family's 1533-position model. The record is from RNAcentral.